GCAGGAAGUUGUACACAGUGUUUAAAAGCUGCUGCAGGACUGCAGACAUUCACAGGAAGCUGGACCAGCAAUGGCUCUGCUGAAGGUUCUGCUGCUGCUGCUGGGACUGGGUGUUUCAGUGAACUCAGAUGUUUCUCUGCAGAAGAGAAUCAUUGGAGGUCAAAACUGCCAUGACACGGAGCGUCUUUAUCAUGUUCGGCUGGAGAGCAGCAAUGGUACUCAUAUGAAGCGCUGUGGAGGAUCUCUGAUCCACCCUGAGUGGAUCCUGACUGCAGCUCACUGCUGGAAGUCAGAGCCAGGAUGGACUAAUGUAGCAAUGGUAAAAGUUCAUCCACGGACUGCUGGCGAGCAGCGACAGAUGAUCCAACAAUCUCCUGUGAUUUAUAUUAUCCACCGCCAGAAGCAUGACAUCAUGUUACUGAAACUUCAGACACCAGUAACAGAUGUCCCAGUUGCUCGGCUACCAGACUGCAGGUAUCGUCUUAAAAAAGGCGAUGUUGUUCAGCUGGCAGGAGAGGCAGCAACAACAGCCGGCCCCAAUAAUCAGCGAGUAAUCAGUGCUGCUAUUCCAGCACACCUUCAAUGUGUCGACAUGGAAGUUGUUGGUGUUUACCUCUUCUUGCCGUUAAGUGGGUCUAUAUUCCAUGUUAAAGCUCCGAACAAGGAUGUAUGCAAUGGCGACUCUGGUGGAGCAGCGAUGCUCGGUGACAAGAUUUAUGGUGUGAUUUCUUUUGGUGGAGUAUACUACGCAUGUCAGAGACCUGCUACAAUCUUGGAUGUGUGUGAAUACAAGGGCUGGAUUAGAAGAAAAACUGGGCUUAAAUAAACUAUCAUGAAAUAAAAUUCUCAUUAAAUUUCCUCUCACAUAUAAUUUUAUAAUUGUAUCUUCAUCAGUUUGAUCCACAUCUUAGUAGAAUUAGAAUAAAUAAAUAUAUUUUUUUUUCUCACCUGAUCUUGACCUCCCUAAUGGAGCUUUCUCUUCACCUCAGAAAUGAAAAAUAAAUCAAUAAAUGCAUGAAAAAGAAA
Molecule: RNA transcript, 1026 nt
Organism: Xiphophorus couchianus (Monterrey platyfish)
Lineage: Eukaryota; Metazoa; Chordata; Actinopteri; Cyprinodontiformes; Poeciliidae
Gene name: cationic trypsin-like
Exons: 7
Source: RefSeq, a predicted model, not a curated record